RNAcentral lists this ribosomal RNA (253 nucleotides) under uncultured bacterium. RNAcentral describes it as "partial 16S ribosomal RNA". It matches the Rfam family "Bacterial small subunit ribosomal RNA", at positions 524 to 776 of the family's 1533-position model. The record is from RNAcentral.
UACGGAGGGAGCUAGCGUUGUUCAGAAUUACUGGGCGUAAAGCGUGUGUAGGCUGCGCGGAAAGUCAAAUGUGAAAGCCCAGGGCUUAACCCUGGAACUGCAUUCGAUACUCCCGUGCUUGAGUAAUGGAGAGGUAAGUGGAAUUCCCGGUGUAGCAGUGAAAUGCGUAGAUAUCGGGAGGAACAUCAAUGGCGAAGGCAACUUACUGGACAUUUACUGACGCUCAGACACGAAGGCCAGGGGAGCGAAAGGG